UACGUAGGGGGCAAGCGUUGUCCGGAAUCAUUGGGCGUGAAGCGCGUGUAGGCGGUCCGGUAAGUCCGCUGUGAAAGUCCAGGGCUCAACCCUGGGAUGCCGGUGGAUACUGUCGGGCUAGAGUACGGAAGAGGCGAGUGGAAUUCCUGGUGUAGCGGUGAAAUGCGCAGAUAUCAGGAAGAACACCCGUGGCGAAGGCGGUUCUCUGGGACGGUACUGACGCUGAGACGCGAAAGCGUGGGGAGCGAACAGG
This 253-nucleotide ribosomal RNA is filed under the name uncultured bacterium. RNAcentral describes it as "partial 16S ribosomal RNA". It matches the Rfam family "Bacterial small subunit ribosomal RNA", at positions 524 to 776 of the family's 1533-position model. The record is from RNAcentral.